AUGUUCCUCACGUCUUUACUGCUGCUGCUGAUUGCAGGAUGUUGUCUCACACAGUCUGAGCGGUCAGUAACAGUGACUCCAGGUGGAUCCCAGAAACUGACCUGUGCCUGCAGUGGAUUCAGUGUGGGGGGCUAUGGCAUGAAUUGGAUCCGACAGGCUCCUGGAAAAGGACUGGAAUGGAUUAUUUACUAUUAUACUGAAAGUAGCAAAUACUCAGCCCAGUCAGUUCAGGGCAGAUUCACAGCGUCCAAGGACAGCUCUAAUCUCUACCUGCACAUGAGUCAACUGAAGCCUGAAGACACUGCAGUGUAUUACUGUGCUAGAGGCUCACUGUGGUAG
Molecule: non-coding RNA, 339 nt
Organism: Colossoma macropomum (tambaqui)
Lineage: Eukaryota; Metazoa; Chordata; Actinopteri; Characiformes; Serrasalmidae
Source: the annotation of a RefSeq genome assembly